Molecule: non-coding RNA, 84 nt
Filed under: unclassified sequences
Source: RNAcentral
CGCCUAUUGCCACCGGGUAAUAGGAAAGACGUCAUUUCUUUAUCGUUAGGUCUUAGAAGAUAAAGAAGUGGCGUAUUUUUUUUA